AUUGAACGCUGGCGGCAUGCCUUACACAUGCAAGUCGAACGGUAACAGGUCUUCGGAUGCUGACGAGUGGCGAACGGGUGAGUAAUACAUCGGAACGUGCCUAGUAGUGGGGGAUAACUACUCGAAAGAGUGGCUAAUACCGCAUGAGAUCUACGGAUGAAAGCAGGGGAACGCAAGACCUUGUGCUACUAGAGCGGCAGAUGGCAGAUUAGGUAGUUGGUGGGAUAAAAGCUUACCAAGCCGACGAUCUGUAGCUGGUCUGAGAGGACGAUCAGCCACACUGGGACUGAGACACGGCCCAGACCCCUACGGGAGGCAGCAGUGGGGAAUUUUGGACAAUGGGCGAAAGCCUGAUCCAGCAAUGCCGCGUGCAGGAUGAAGGCCUUCGGGUUGUAAACUGCUUUUGUACGGAACGAAAAGCCCCGGGUUAAUACCCUGGGGUCAUGACGGUACCGUAAGAAUAAGCACCGGCUAACUACGUGCCAGCCGCCGCGGUAA
This 498-nucleotide ribosomal RNA is filed under the name uncultured bacterium. Its description in RNAcentral is "partial 16S ribosomal RNA". It matches the Rfam family "Bacterial small subunit ribosomal RNA", at positions 30 to 523 of the family's 1533-position model. The record is from RNAcentral.